This 208-nucleotide long non-coding RNA is filed under the name Bos taurus (domestic cattle). RNAcentral describes it as "long non-coding RNA NONBTAT019808". The record is from RNAcentral. Lineage: Eukaryota; Metazoa; Chordata; Mammalia; Artiodactyla; Bovidae.
CACUAAUGGAUUCUCAACUAGAUUAUAAUUAAGUCCUUUGCCUGGGAAAGGCCAGGUUUCUUAGGACUCUCAGUAUUUCUGGGUGGCUUUGGAGAUUUCAAGGGCUGAGGACAUUCAUGACAUACCUAUGGCAGAUACCCUGGGUUCCUCCAGCCUCCUUCACAAAAACCUGUUCCAUCCAGCUGUCCUCACUUUUCCAGGAGAGGCU